GGGAAGCGUGAGGAAGGGGCAGGCGCGGCGCUCUUCCGAAGUCGGCAAACCAGAGACCGACGAUGAAGGAGGUAGGGAACGGCGCGUUCUGCCGCAGCUGGAACUACUGCGGCCAGAGGCUUGCAGUCGGCUACGACGACGGGUCCAUCUCCAUCCACGACUCCCUCGACUCCUCUUCUUGUUCCUCCAAAUGGAAGAGAUUUUUGGGAGUUUGAAGAUGUGCAUCAACAUCAGCUACCAGCUGUAGAGUAGGCGUUCCCAGGUGACAAUGGUGAUAGGGCAAAUGCUGUAGCUUGGGCUCCCAAUGUUGGCAGCUGUCGCAACUUGCUAGGGGAUUGCAAUAUGGCAUGUAAGGUUGAAUCCUGAGUCUGAGGGAAGACUCUCAACAGAGAAGGUUGCCUUACUUUCUGCCCAUAAUAAUAGGUAUGGCAACUGGGGGAGGAUGAGUGGCGAUGACAUAAGCAUCAACAGGUGCUGAUGGCAUGAUUAUGGCAGUCCCACUUAAAUGGUAUAUGGCAUGAACAGGCAGCCCUUGAAUGCAACAGGUUGCUGCAAUGAGAAGACCAAUCAGGCUGCUGAUUGCCUCGCUACACUUACCUUGAGAUAGAAAAGCUGCAGCAAUUCUUGCAUAAUGGUUACAAUUGUGUGGGGAUAUGUAUCACUUGUAUCUAAACCCCAUGCUUAGGGAAGGAUCUAUGUGCAUUAUCUUAACACACGUUGCAAUGCGGCUUAGCAGAGGAAGGCAUGUCUCAUUCAAAUUGUGGAUGCUUUUUUUUUUUUU
Molecule: non-coding RNA, 781 nt
Organism: Elaeis guineensis (African oil palm)
Lineage: Eukaryota; Viridiplantae; Streptophyta; Magnoliopsida; Arecales; Arecaceae
Source: RefSeq, a predicted model, not a curated record